GUUGUUUAGUACCCCCAUGCCAGCCCAGCCCGGAUAAAGUUGAUUUUAUGAUCAUAAAGCAUUGCAGCAGUGACUGUGCAUUGGCAGUUAAUUUAUAUAUAUAUAUAUAUAUAUAUAUUACACUGUGCAAUGUAUCCUUUAUAUUAAGACGGUGGAUUGUAAUUUGAGUGAGAAUUGACUAUGUCUAGCAGGCCAAGAGACUAUACAAUGGUUCUCUUAUUUCACGAUGGGCGUAAUGAUUAAUGUUGGAAAUGGCACCAAUCAUACCAUGGAUUUUUUUUUCAUUACAGUUUCCAUAAAAAAGUUAUACAUGUUCCACCUAAAAUGAAACUUU
Octopus sinensis (East Asian common octopus) is the source of this 334-nucleotide long non-coding RNA. RefSeq lists it as uncharacterized. The record is from RefSeq and is a predicted model, not a curated record. Lineage: Eukaryota; Metazoa; Mollusca; Cephalopoda; Octopoda; Octopodidae. The transcript has 2 exons.